This 460-nucleotide ribosomal RNA is filed under the name uncultured bacterium. Its description in RNAcentral is "partial 16S ribosomal RNA". It matches the Rfam family "Bacterial small subunit ribosomal RNA", at positions 338 to 795 of the family's 1533-position model. The record is from RNAcentral.
CCUACGGGAGGCAGCAGUGAGGAAUAUUGGUCAAUGGACGAGAGUCUGAACCAGCCAAGUAGCGUGAAGGAUGACUGCCCUACGGGUUGUAAACUUCUUUUAUAUGGGAAUAAAACGUUCCACGAGUGGGACUUUGUAUGUACCAUAUGAAUAAGGAUCGGCUAACUCCGUGCCAGCAGCCGCGGUAAUACGGAGGAUCCGAGCGUUAUCCGGAUUUAUUGGGUGUAAAGGGAGCGUAGGUGGAUUGUUAAGUCAGUUGUGAAAGUUUGCGGCUCAACCGUAAGAUGGCAGUUGAAACUGGCAGUCUAGAGUACAGUAGAGGUGAGCGGAAUUCGUGGUGUAGCGGUGAAAUGCUUAGAUAUCGCGAAGAACUCCGAUUGCGAAGGCAGUUCACUGGACUGCAACUGACACUGAGGCUCGAAGGUGUGGGUAUCAAACGGGAUUAGAUACCCUGGUAGUC